This is a long non-coding RNA of Dermacentor andersoni, 1857 nucleotides long. RefSeq lists it as uncharacterized. The record is from RefSeq and is a predicted model, not a curated record. Lineage: Eukaryota; Metazoa; Arthropoda; Arachnida; Ixodida; Ixodidae.
UUCUUUUUCCUGGCACUCACGAGGUGCAUGCUUAGGAUACUCAGGAAAUAGUGCUACGGAACAGUAUUUGCAAUGACGAAGAGGCGAGCAGUGAGAAGACGACGACAAAAAGCUAUAUACAAGUAUAUUUACAAGGGAAUACGCCGCACUUGGCCAAGAGGUGACAGGCCAGGGUAGCCUCCAAUCGUCGUCGUCGUCGUCUUCUCACUGCUCGCCUCUUCGUCAUUGCAAAUACUGUUCCGUAGCAAUAUCGUUGGUAUGGCAUAGUGUUAUAGGCGUCUUUUAUCACGGGGAAUCUCGUGGACAACACCGUUAAUUCACGGUGAUAGAGGACGCACACUGGACUAAGCUGUUUUCUAAAUGUUUUUCACAAUCACAGCAGUUGGUGCCAGCCUUCUGUCCGUUCUCCAGGUCAUUCUUGCCCAUUCUGCUACCGCUUCGUAUCAGAUGGUGGAGUGAACAAGGAUACACACCCUCUGUUUGAGCGGUAGCCGCUUCUACACAAUGGCACAAAGCAGGUCCUUUCCUUGCACUCUCUCUUUAGCAUCGUCAUUUUUUCACUGCCAGCGCAUAGUUCUCGUAAUGACAAGCACACAAACACAGCAGCUACACACUCACUCUUUGACAACACCAAGAACAAACACGCAAUGCUGUAAUAAGACAGAAAACGCAAACAUAGAAACCGACGCAACCGCUGUGAAACUGAUGUGCGAAGCAGACGAAACGCGCACUCUGGACCCACCCGUAUAGCAGCGACCUCUGUCGGCCACCGUGGGCAUUCAUUGCAGGCGGCGCCAUGCUUCUCCAUUGAAAAGAGCGGGUGCACAGCACACUAGCCAGUAUAUUCUAGGCACUAUAGUUUUACAGUGCACACAACACUCCUGCGAGGGUGUCGAUAGUUGAUGGAAGCGCCGCUGUUCCAUAUGCGGCGGCACCAGGCCCCGCGUACUCUCAAGUUCAAGAAAUGGCCACAGAGGGUGAAAAAAUCGACCGCGCGCCGCUGCUAACAAAACCAGCAUAGUAGCAUCACUUCGGGAUGCUUACGUUAGUUUCAACAUUUUCCGCUAGAGGCGCCGUAAUAAGCGUAAUUUUAUCUUACAAACUUUCUGUUCCAAUUACCGAAGCAUUUUUAUUACAUAAAAAAGAUGGCGAAAUUAUCAUUGCUAAUUAGAUAUUGUGCUCUUUGUAAGUAAGUUGUUUCUUUGCCAGUAUAGACGCAAAUAGCGUUCAGCAUCAUUGAUCUUUCACGUGACCUCUCGCCUGGAUUUAAAAUUUUUACCGGCAUUUUCGAGUGCAUGGUGGCACGGAUUCAUUCGUUCGUGCACUCAGACUGGUUGCUUCUUUUUUGCUAAAACUAGUUUAUUGUGCUUCGAUGUCUCGCGUUAUUUAACCUGGGGUGAAGUGACGUGUUUGCAAGUGGACACGUAGGCCCGAAAGUUGGGUAUCGGUUGUGAGCCAUUCGGAACACGUCUGCAUCAAAACGGGAGCUGGAUUCUGCUGCGUCUGACAACGGCAAUAACGACAUGCAGUAACGAGGACGGCACCAGUAUAAAGCAACACACUCCACACACUAAACGGAAGUGCUGCCUGCUACAACAAGGCCAUUGUGUGGACAUUGGCUGCUACUACAAGAGUCUAUGCCAAGCACAUCUUGGUCAUCACAGGAGCUCCUAUGUACACCAACAGGAAGGGGCUGGAGCUGAAUUUGCAGGGCUUUUACACCACGAACAAAGAAGCGCAUGCAGAAGAAUUUGGAUGAGAUAUCAAGUCUGCAGAGGACUAUGUCAAGACUGAAAAGAGCUUCAGUCACGAUUCCACCAGCACGGACAUUUGGCUGAGUCAUCCAGGUAACUCAGA